This is a long non-coding RNA of Salvia splendens (bonfire salvia), 429 nucleotides long. RefSeq lists it as uncharacterized. Lineage: Eukaryota; Viridiplantae; Streptophyta; Magnoliopsida; Lamiales; Lamiaceae. The record is from RefSeq and is a predicted model, not a curated record. The transcript is spliced from 2 exons.
UGCUCAUGCGUCUUAAAGAGAGACGCAUGAGCGUCAUGCGUCUCUACUUCGAAUUAAACCAGCUGCGAAGGCAGUAGCUCCUCAUUCACGCACGCAGACAGCAAAGGUUGCGAUUUCCUUGGCGAUUUCUUGGCGACUCCCGUCAUAUUUCGAAAUCAUGCAAGUAUUCGUGAGUUUAUAUUGGGGUGGUAGAAUAUAUCAACUUCCUCAUGUGGGCAUUUGUUAUGAUCCUCCUCGUGCGAGAGCUUCCAUCGUAUUGGAUUCAUGUGUUUCAUUAUCUGAAUUAGUAGGAAUGAUAUGUGCUAAGAUAAGAAUAGAUUCCAACCAACACUUCAUCGAAAUAUCUUGGAGGCAUUGUUUCUUGGGUACCGGUACGAGUUAUGUAUGUACUGCGGUUGACAGUGAUCAAAGUGUGUUUUAUAUGUUCAA